Molecule: ribosomal RNA, 270 nt
Filed under: uncultured bacterium
Lineage: Bacteria
Description: partial 16S ribosomal RNA
Rfam family: Bacterial small subunit ribosomal RNA
Source: RNAcentral
GUGCCAGCAGCCGCGGUAAUACGUAGGUGGCAAGCGUUAUCCGGAUUUACUGGGUGUAAAGGGCGUGUAGGCGGGAGAGCAAGUCAGCGGUAAAAAUUCGGGGCUCAACCCCGUCCGGCCGUUGAAACUGGGGGCCUUGAGUGGGCGAGAAGAAGGCGGAAUGCGUGGUGUAGCGGUGAAAUGCAUAGAUAUCACGCAGAACCCCGAUUGCGAAGGCAGCCUUCCGGCGCCCUACUGACGCUGAGGCACGAAAGUGCGGGGAUCGAACAG